CAAAGCGCUCUCUCUCUAUGCUUGAGUCCUCUUGCAGACUACAGUGAUCUGCACAAGCCAAUUUUUUUCCUCUCUAUCUGGGAUCUGGCAAUGGCUCCAUGCAACUUAACUGCUCUCUCCACCAGCCUUUUCUCCAGGCUGUGUGUUGACCUGGCAAAUGCUUCUAGCUGUAAGGAGAUGAAAAGAAGUUUUGACUCCAGCAACAUCACCCUGUGAAGUGGCAGAACUCCAGAGUCGUCUAAUGAACCUCUGAAAUCCACCACUGCUUAACAGGGGGCCAAGAUUUCAAGACAUUAAAGCAGUCGUAGUAGAGCAGUCCUUCACUGCUUGCUGCACUCAGUGUCUAUGGAAAGUCACAGAACACCUUGAGGAGGAUUCUUUUAUAAAAGGCUUCUACCUGUGCACAGGCAGGAUUCAGCUGUCUCCUACAGCAAACUGUUCUGUUAUCAAGUCUAGUCCAUUGGUGAGAAAACUCACUAGAAGAGGCACAUAAAGACUGCACCUCUCUCCUCGUGUCCAGGGUUCUGUAAGUCUCUAUCCAACUAAGAAAUCACACCCAAGUUCAUUCUGUUCAUCAAAGUGCUGUCUUUUGAUCUGUGUUGUUAAAUGCUAUCGUAUUAGUCUUUCCCUUCCAAACAGGUAUAAAGGUGAGGAAGUGGGAUGGAAAUGCUGUAACAGCUUAGCCUACCCCCUUCAGGCUAAUGACCUGCAGAACACAGAACUCUGCUGCCCAUGAUUCUCCUCUUCUUUCCAGGUGGAUCACGGCCUUAUCCACUGCCACCUCUCAUAUCUAUUAUAAUGGGACCCUCAAUCUUAAUUACAACCACUGCUGAAGUCUGUCAAAGACACUGCUCCAACAAAAAGCAAUUCCAUCAGGCAUGGCAGGCUGAUAGCAGGCUUCCAAUCCUCUUUUAUCUGCUACCUGGUUUUCUACAUCCUCUGCAAG
Molecule: long non-coding RNA, 946 nt
Organism: Prinia subflava (tawny-flanked prinia)
Lineage: Eukaryota; Metazoa; Chordata; Aves; Passeriformes; Cisticolidae
Exons: 4
Source: RefSeq, a predicted model, not a curated record